GAACGAACGCUGGCGGCAUGCCUAACACAUGCAAGUCGAACGAGAAAGUACCUUCGGGUGCGAGUAGAGUGGCGCACGGGUGAGUAACACGUAGGUGACCUACCGAUUAGUGGGGGAUAACCCGAAGAAAUUCGGGCUAAUACCGCAUAAGCAAGACAAAUUUGAAAGUAGUCUUGGAAAGAAUGCCUCUGCAUAUGCAUUUGCUGAUUGAUGGGCCUGCGGGACAUUAGUUUGAUGGUGGGGUAACGGCCUACCUUGACUUCGAUGUCUAGCGGAUCUGAGAGGAUGAUCCGCCACACUGGAACUGAGACACGGUCCAGACUCCUACGGGAGGCAGCAGUGGGGAAUAUUGCGCAAUGGGGGAAACCCUGACGCAGCAACGCCGCGUGAGUGAGGAAGGCUUUCGGGUUGUAAAACUCUGUCAAUGUUGAAAAACGGUGUUUGGUCUAAUAGGCCUUGCAUUUGAUGGUAAACAUAAAGGAAGCACCGGCUAACUUCGUGCCAGCAGCCGCGGUAAUACGAAGGGUGCAAGCGUUGUUCGGAUUUAUUGGGCGUAAAGCGCGCGCAGGCGGAUUUGUAAGUCAGAUGUGAAAUCUCGGGGCUCAACCCCGAAACUGCGUCUGAAACUACUAAUCUAGAAUCUUGGAGAGGGAAGGAGAAUUUCGCAUGUAGGGGUAAAAUCCGUAGAGAUGCGAAGGAAUAUCAGAGGCGAAGGCGCCUUCCUGGACAAGUAUUGACGCUGAGGCGCGAAAGCAUGGGGAGCAAACAGGAUUAGAUACCCUGGUAGUCCAUGCCGUAAACGAUGUGCACUAGGUUUGGGAUUGUUGACCGAUUCCGAGCCAAAGCUAACGCAUUAAGUGCACCGCCUGGGGAGUACGGUCGCAAGACUAAAACUCAAAGGAAUUGACGGGGGCCCGCACAAGCGGUGGAUUAUGUGGUUUAAUUCGAAGCAACGCGCAGAACCUUACCUAGGCUUGAACUCCUACGAACCUGUUAGAGAUAGCGGAGUGCCCUUCGGGGAAUGUAGUGACAGGUGCUGCAUGGCUGUCGUCAGCUCGUGUUGUGAAAUGUUGGGUUAAGUCUCGCAACGAGCGCAACCCCUAUUGUUAGUUGCCAGCAUUAAGUUGGGCACUCUAAUGAGACUGCCUGGGUUAACCAGGAGGAAGGUGGGGAUGACGUCAAGUCCUCAUGGCCCUUAUGCCUAGGGCUACACACGUAAUACAAUGGUCGGUACAGAGGGAUGCGAUACUGUGAAGUUAAGCAAAUCUCAAAAAGCCGAUCUCAGUCCGGAUUGAAGUCUGCAACUCGACUUCAUGAAGUUGGAAUCGCUAGUAAUCGCGGAUCAGCAUGCCGCGGUGAAUACGUUCCCGGGCCUUGUACACACCGCCCGUCAAG
This 1395-nucleotide ribosomal RNA is filed under the name uncultured prokaryote. RNAcentral's name for it is "partial 16S ribosomal RNA". It matches the Rfam family "Bacterial small subunit ribosomal RNA", at positions 27 to 1401 of the family's 1533-position model. The record is from RNAcentral.